This is a non-coding RNA of Brassica rapa (field mustard), 389 nucleotides long. NCBI's taxonomy places the organism in Eukaryota, Viridiplantae, Streptophyta, Magnoliopsida, Brassicales, Brassicaceae. The record is from Rfam.
AAUGUCACCGCAAUGGUAAUUCAGCUUAGUACGAGAGGAACCGCUGAUUCAGAUAAUUGGUUUUGGCGGCUGUCUGACCAGGCAGUGCCGCGAAGCUACCAUCUGCUGGAUAAUGGCUGAACGCCUCUAAGUCAGAAUCCAUGCCAGAAAGCGGCGAGUACCUCCCACACAUCGUAGUCGGAUACGAAUAGGCCCCUAGGGCCCUGAAUCUUAGCAGGUUGGCAAUGGUGCUCGGGGAGAAAUCCCGGGUGCUAGCUGACGUCUUGCAAUUUACCAUGCGUGGGGAUAAAACCUUUGCAUACGACUUAGUUAUAUCAGACGGUGCUGUAAAUAGUAGAGUAGUCUUGUUAUUACGAUCUAUUGAGGCUAAGCCGCGCUGAUUUAGUUUU